Molecule: ribosomal RNA, 440 nt
Filed under: uncultured bacterium
Lineage: Bacteria
Description: partial 16S ribosomal RNA
Rfam family: Bacterial small subunit ribosomal RNA
Source: RNAcentral
CCUACGGUGGGCAGCAGUGGGGAAUAUUGCACAAUGGGGGAAACCCUGAUGCAGCGACGCCGCGUGAAGGAAGAAGUAUUUCGGUAUGUAAACUUCUAUCAGCAGGGAAGAAAAUGACGGUACCUGACUAAGAAGCCCCGGCUAACUACGUGCCAGCAGCCGCGGUAAUACGUAGGGGGCAAGCGUUAUCCGGAUUUACUGGGUGUAAAGGGAGCGUAGGCGGUUCAGCAAGUCAGAAGUGAAAGCCCGGGGCUCAACUCCGGGACUGCUUUUGAAACUGGUGAACUAGAGUGCAGGAGAGGUAAGUGGAAUUCCUAGUGUAGCGGUGAAAUGCGUAGAUAGUAGGAGGAACACCAGUGGCGAAGGCGGCUUACUGGACUGUAAAUGACGCUGAGGCUCGAAAGCGUGGGGAGCAAACAGGAUUAGAUACCCGAGUAGUC